ACGUUACCCAUGCGUUGCGAUUUGCGAACGAGCGAGCGAAGCCUUUGCCCUCGAGCGACGCCACACUAGAUCCUUCGCCCUCGCAGCCGCCGCCGAUCCCCUCCCUCAAACGCCGCCGCCCCCGUCACGGCCGCCCCCGCCACCUCCCGUCGCGAGCAGGCGGGAGGAGCCCUGCCCGGCCUCCUCCUUCCCCUCACCUUCUCUCCCUCUCCCAAGGGAGGGAAGGGAAUGGAAGGGAUCCGGCGGCAAGGGGAGGCAGCGGCCAGAACCGCAGCCGCACCGGCGGGCCGCCGUCCCUCGAGAUCGUCCAUGGAGGUCCGACCCGGCUACAACCAUGGACUGAGACGCCCGAAUCCCUAGCUACCCGUGGAGGUCCGACGCCUCAACCUCCAAGGAAAGGACGCGCGCCGGCUGCAGGCCAUCUCCGGCGACCUCCGACCAUGGUUGCUCGGAUCUGGACCAGCUGCUGCUCCUACUGCUUCAGGUGGACGAGGACGAGCCCUCCCUCAUUGCUGCUGCGGCUGCCUACUCCCUCCUCCUACCAUUUGGCCUGGUGUGAGUGGUGGAGUUAAUGAGCCGGGAUGAAGUUCGAGAAGUUGCAUUACGCCGUGUAAAUAUUAAUGAGCUGUGGAAGACAAGUGCACCGAUAUAGUUGUUAGAGAAAUAAGAAGAUGAUGUAGAGUGAUUUAUGGGUAAGUAAUAUAGCGAAUAGAUUUGCACGGGAAGUCAAGUAUAUGCCGAGACUCGAGCAGGUUCAUUGUUAUUGUUGUUCUUGCGUGUCAAAGCUUUUGGCUAGAUCUGUAGGUAUACAUAUGAGUCGAUGCUUAAUUUUUGUCACGUUUCUUACUUACCACUGUUAUUUCUAGCAGACCUAACCUGAUAUAGUAGUUAAUUUUGGCACUAGACACAACAACUUUGACAUUGAUAAUUUCCUCAUAUUUUUAGUAGGACAAUAAACUUGUCUAGCAUUUCAUAGUUGCAGGCUCUGAAAACAAAUGUAUCUGCCCCCUAAAUGAUUAAACGUGUGGUUUCUGAAUUAUGCAUGCUGACAUGCAUUGGUAAUCAUUAUUCAAUGGUAUUCCUUUUCACUGAAAUAAGAACCAUGUAAUGCUUAUGAUUUAAUCUGGUUAUCUAGACAACUAAAUGGGUUAAUGUUAUGCUUAGUAUCUUUUGGCAAAUGUAAUGCAGGGAAGUAAACCACUGUCUUUUGAUAGGGAUUUCUGGAGGUAACAUGCCUCUGAUUGUAUGCACUGAAUUUCAGAUGCUAUCUUGCGUACGACUGAGCAGUCUCGCAUAUACUUCAACCCAGACAUCAACGCAACAAAUAACUUGAUUAUAAGGAACAAAUGUCAUGUGAAGCAAAUAAUUUCCUUAGAAAAAAGAGGGCCAAGAAAAAGACGCAAAAGCAUAGCUUGCUCCUUGAUUCCAGUUUCUGCAGCCACCAUUGAUAAGCAUGGACUGAGCAAAUGAGUAUCAAAAGGAAGUGAAGGAAGCUUCGUCCUCUGGGUUGCUUGCGAUGUAGUUCUCCAGCAGCUUCAGCGCCAAGUUGUAAACUUAUGCAUUUGGGGCUAUUAAAGGGAGGCAAUUGACGUGCAUUUCAAGAGGAGUUAUUCUGUGGCAACCCACAGAGUCAUGUCUGAUCAUUAAAAGAAUUGGCCACGGAUCCCCACGGACGCCGCCGCCGCUGCGGAUCCCCACGGACGACGCAGACGCCGCCGAACAGAGCAGGGCAUGGUCGCGUUGCACUGAUUGGAGGAGACCGUGCCGGCCGUGCCCUGUUUGGAGGAUGAACACAGGUUCACCGCCAUGGCUAUGAGAGGACGCAUUUGUGGAAUCCCCUGCACGCAUCGGACGGAUCGAUUGUUUGAACGGGCGCAAGGAAAGAGAUCUAGGCCUGCUUGAGGGGGUGAGCUGACAUGGGAGACCCGAGCUGCUGUUCAUCUCCUGCUGCUGCUAUAUUGACCUCUACUUGAAGUCAGGAGCCAAAUUGAAGAUCAAAUUCAGGUUAGUAAAAAAGGGCAGUCUUUUUGUUAUUGGUGUACCAUUUUGUAUAUUGUCAACUGUACGCUCCUUGCGAUACUAAAAACUAUAUGUAAUGUAGGGAUUUGUUUCACCAUCAUCAGAAAAACUCCUAGACAUGCCUCCUAAAAGACAUGUCUUUUAUGAUAGUUCUGGAUCUGAAUGAGACCCUUUUAUACUCAGAUUGGAAGGUGAUCUUGUGUUUUCUGCGAA
Long non-coding RNA from Triticum aestivum (bread wheat), 2232 nucleotides. RefSeq lists it as uncharacterized. The transcript is spliced from 10 exons. NCBI's taxonomy places the organism in Eukaryota, Viridiplantae, Streptophyta, Magnoliopsida, Poales, Poaceae. The record is from RefSeq and is a predicted model, not a curated record.